GCUGGCCGAUGUACAUUUCGUAUUUCGGUCCCGAUUUUAGGUGGUAUUUAUUUUUUAUUCCACUUUAGUCACACGCCGGACUCCAUGCACGCCAAACGCAACUCGUCGCGGCCGGUACAUCGCGAUAAAUGUGCAAUACCUACAUGUGUGAUAUAGGUACGGCAGAGUGGACGGCCGCAGACCGCAGCACGCGAGGGGACACGUCUAAAUAUAUCUCUGGACUUUGGAGUCCAAAGUGGCGUGGCUGUGACGCGGGACCCCCUCGGAAAGAAAAUCUGUAUUUCACGCAUAUAUUAUCGGUCGCUUUGCCAUACACAAUUAUAUAUAUGCGGACAAGGGGACGAAUUUACAAGAGUUUUCGUUUCGCGAGUUGCGGCGAAUCGCCUUCACCCUCGUCGAAUUCAAUAAUAAUUCCUAGCCUGGCGAUGACGGUAUCGUGACGUUAUGUCUACCUAUGUCAUGGGGUUGGGAACCACUAGUCGAGGACGGCGUCAGAGGCGAAACGCUAUAGUAUAAUAUUAUAUUAUAUACACAACAUUGUACGGCGGCGACAGAGGCGAACGGCGGCGGCGGCUGCAGCAGCACAGUCGCCGUAUAUUGUGUAUAUUAUUAUUAUUAUUAUUAUCAUCAUCAUCCGCUCCCAUGAUUCAUUGCCGGCAAGAUGGAUGACCGAAACGCGGCGGCGAACAGCGCACGGAGCGGCGACCCACCCUCGCCAGACAUAUACACCAGACAUGACCGCGAGCAGCAGCCAUGGUGCCGCACCCCGCGACCAAACGGAGGAAAAAAAAAACGCUAUUUUUCUCUUUUUAAGGGGGUUACGCGAUUUCGUAUCGUUUCGUAUUGUCCGUACGCGUAUUACACAUUAUUAUUAUUAUUAUUAUUAUUAUUAUCGUGUCUGCAGCUAUACCGGGUGCACUAUACUACGAGAAGGACCAUAUUAUAAAUAUUAUAUAUUAUGAACCUACAUCGGUUAUACUUGCACGAACUGUAUAUAUGAUUAUAAUAUACAAUAGUAACUUUAUUGCGACAAUAACAGAUUAUGAUACAUUUUAUAAAUAAUUUACUUAAAUAUUUAAACAUUGUAGCAACCCCUAAAAUUAAGCGUGUGCUGAAGGAGCGGCUCUUAUUGAUUUAAUUUAUAUGCAUAUAAAAAUAAUAUUAUACACCUAUUAGUACUAAUUUAAAUUAAUGAGAAA
Molecule: long non-coding RNA, 1199 nt
Organism: Metopolophium dirhodum (rose-grain aphid)
Lineage: Eukaryota; Metazoa; Arthropoda; Insecta; Hemiptera; Aphididae
Exons: 3
Source: RefSeq, a predicted model, not a curated record